AAUGAUUUUUUUACUCAGUGUAAUGUACUUUGUAUUCCAUCGACGAAACAUCAAUACCCUCAACUGUCUUUGUUAAUUAUUAGAUUAAUAUAAUUUUGCGUUCCAUUGAAAAAAAAUCAAAACUCUUUUUUUUCAUAUAGAUGUUUUUAAAUAAUAUAUAUCUUUGUUAAUUUUAUAAUUAUUUAAAUAAAAUAUGGCGUACAGGAAGUAGGGUGGUAUAACUAAAUAGACUUAAAACGAAAAUCUAUUUGCUUAAACAUGAAAUAAUUAGCAACACGUAUUAUAAAUAAAAGAAUUAUAAUUUAAUAUCUCAAUAACUUUACGUUUCAAACUUCCAAUUAUUGUUUACAACCAAUAUUAAUAAAAGCGAACAUUCAAUUGACUUUGUUGGUUAUAAGGUUAGUAUACUUUUGCGUUCCGUCGAAGAAACAUCGAUACUCCUCUGCUCCGUACGGGUGAUCAUAAAUGAUCUAUAUUUUCAAUAAUUUCGUCAUUAUUUAAACAAUAUAUAAUGUAAAAAUAAUACAAUACAUUAAUAUUUAGAUAAUAGUGCAGUAGAGACAGUGCCGGUCGCCAAAAAAAUUCAUCUUCAACUCAUUAUACUUCAUUUUGGGGUAGGAUGCUCAUCAUGUGAAGAUUUCACCCUUUGCGGAUGGGUGGCGGCAAAGAGCCGCCCAAGCCUUUGUACCGUUGCCGACAUGAUCGGCAAGUAGACGCCCAAGCCCUUCGUCGUUUCGGAUUUGUAUUGUAAAACAAUUUAUAUUUAUUUAUCAUUCGAAAGAAAAAAUUCGAAAAAUUUAAUUAAUUAAUACGUAUCACGUCUUCUUCUUUUUGAAAAAAUAUUAAAGGUUUUUAUAUUUUUUCAAUUAAAUAUAUUAAUAUAUUUUUACACAAUUUUGCUCGUCUAUUGAGUUCGUCCGCAAAGGGUUAAACGACAGAAACUCAUUCAACGAAGAGUAAAAAUAUCAUUGCCGUCGUGCAUGAUGCAAUCAUAAAAUCGAGUGUUCAUAUCGCUAAAAUAACUAAAAAGUCGUGAAAUAGAAGCAGUGUUUGUUUGUUAGCGAUUCGGGAUUUACAAGAAAAAUAAAUAUCCAUCGACUGCGUACAAUGUAGUCAUUAAAGUCAGUAUUUGUCCGUAAAGUCUUUUCUCUUUUCAACAGUCGCACAGGCUGUAUUUAUAAAAGCCAGUAAAAUUUCGGAAAGUAAAUUCAGUGAUCGUUCGUUAAUAAAUAAUUAGAAUCAGUGCAUCAUUGAAGAGGACUUCGACCAACUUCGAUGUCAACCUACCUCAUAUUCAACCAUCUACGAAUCAUCCACCCUCAAUUUCGACCUAAAUCGCGGACGAGUGUUUUGGAGCCAUCGCAGAACUUCUUAAGUAAAGCGAAGAAU
Long non-coding RNA from Vespula vulgaris, 1389 nucleotides. RefSeq lists it as uncharacterized. The transcript is spliced from 3 exons. Lineage: Eukaryota; Metazoa; Arthropoda; Insecta; Hymenoptera; Vespidae. The record is from RefSeq and is a predicted model, not a curated record.